CGAAUCCUUUAUUACAGAGGAGAGCUCGAUCAACAUCGACAUCGUCUGCAAUGGCGGAUUGUUUAUUUGCAAUUUGCAGCGUUUGCGCGAUGUAAAUUGUUCUUUCGCUAGUUUCUUGUACGUGGUAAUGUUAACAUUAACGCUCGCUAUCGAGUUUAGGGUAUGUUUUCUCACACGUGAAGGUGUGGUGCCUUUUUCACCCGUGGAUAUUCGUACUCGACUCCGCUCGCCCACCACAGCAGGUGAGGUCAUUGUUCAUCCGCCUUGGUGCAGUUGGCCUGCCUUGCAAACUCAUAAACGGCAUUGUGUGUUGCUGCCAUGUCUUCCGUUACUUUCUCUCAGUAGCAUGAACGAACUAUCCGCACCCGUUUUGUCUGCACUACAACGGAGAUGCCUCAACUUCAGCCUAUGUUAACCCCCACUGCCUUUCAAGGAACUAUGUCAACAAUGCCAGCACUAUGUGCUGCUGGGCCUCAUAACAUAAGCUUGCUCAGUGGCACAAACUGUCCAUAUACUUUUGCCCCACAAUGCAACUGUGCCAUUCUCAGUGGUCCGUAUUGGGAAGCACUCCAGAUCUACAAACACUAUGAUGUGCUGUUGGCUGCUAGAAAAUGACUCGUUUAUAACAGCGGAGUUUUGCACAACAUAGAAAGGGUUAUGAAUGUAAAAAUGGCCAUCCACUCCCAUUUGUUGCACAAAGCUACGAGAAAAUUCAUAUGGAUUUCUCAUAAAGAACAGCAUUUUAGUUGGCGAAAAAUUUGACAUGGUCCACAGUUUGAACUCGAGAACGACUUUUUUUCGGGGUGGUCGCUCUACCAUUUAAGCUAACCAGUAUGCUAGUAAUCAAAGUGCGAGGGCAAAUUCAGUUUGAAGCGCAUGGACACUGAAUAUGACAAAUGAGUUCUGUGGAAAGCACAGUAGGUAUAAGUAGCUUAUAACCAGCUGCAAGUAAUGUUUUUUUCUUUCAAGUUUGAUUUUCAUAAAUAGAUAUUAACGCAGAAUCUUCUGCUAAAAGCUGCUGCACGUUUCCACAGGACCCAUUUGCCACAUUCUGUGUGCUUUGACUUUUCAACUAAUUGGCCCUUACACUGCCCAUUGCUAGCCUACUGGCUAUCUCAGUUGUAGAGAAACAGCCCUGGAAAGGUGUUGGUUCCAGGCUUGAGCCCAGGAACAGUACGAAUUUUUUGUCUUCCUUUCUGAGAAAUCAGUAUGGAUUUCCUGGUAGCCUUGUACAAAACAGGUGGAUGGCCAUUUUUCAAUUCAAAAUAACUUGUUCUCUACACAGAUGAUGUAUGCGAACACAACUGUGAUGCCUUGAAUCAUGUCUGGACGAGCUGGGCUUGGAGCAUGUAGCCAAAUGUGAUGGUAGGAGCUCCAAGUGAAUGUUCUCAAAUGUUCAUUGUUCCAGUGCUCCCAGAACGAGGAAAAAGCUGGGACACAGCACUGUGUGCCUUGGCUUCUUUCCUCGCACUGUGACAUAAUGAAGUAGUACCAACUAGCCCAGUUCAUUGCGCUCUAAAAUGUGUUUAGCUACUUGUGAUGCCGUUCAGACCAAUCUGCUUGGCACAUUCACAGGUAGCAAUAGAACAGAGGGCUGCCGAGAUAGCAAAGCCAUAAAUGCAAGGCCUGCGCGUGCACAUCUGAGCUUGCAGAGAUAGUGUCCUGCAUAGGUCACUUGCUUGAUGAAUGUGCAAUAAAUGCAAUUUUUUGGGCAAUAAAGGUGUGAUGACAUAUGCAA
Long non-coding RNA from Rhipicephalus sanguineus (brown dog tick), 1738 nucleotides. RefSeq lists it as uncharacterized. The record is from RefSeq and is a predicted model, not a curated record. The transcript is spliced from 2 exons. Lineage: Eukaryota; Metazoa; Arthropoda; Arachnida; Ixodida; Ixodidae.